UAUGUGUUCUAUGUUAUGUGUGCACACUUGUGUUUUGUGUUGUAUGUCUGCAUGUGCAUAUGUCCAUAUAUCAUAUAUGAGGAACACUCAUAAAAUAAUGGAUCCAAAUAUUUUUAUUAUUCACGUGAUUUAAAUGGUUUAAUUUAAAUUGGGUAAACAGCUGUUGAGGAUUGUUUUAAUAUGUGAACAAAUAAGGAGGUCAACAGACCUGUUUGUUUACUUUCACCUUUCCUUUACAUUAUAUUUAAUAAUUCUGUUCAUGAUAAUGUAAAUUGUUCAGAAAAGUAUUUUCUUAAUACCUGUAGGAAUGGUACAUAAUUUUCUUUUUUACCCAUCAUUACCAGAAUUUUUAUGUUCAUCCCAGUUCCGGUGAAGACAAGGUGAAGACAAAGAUAAAACCAAACUACAGCUUCUUCAAUAGCUAUCACAGUAAACUGUAUAAACUGAUGCAUCAAUGAAUAAUAACUCAACAUGUAAUGCUCAAUCAAGGAGUCAAUUUACUUUGGGAGGAAAUGGAAAUAUUGGUAGAUUCCUCUGCUUUGAACUGCUUGCAGAACUUGCCUGGACUGUGUAUCACUUGUAUACAUUGUGAACUAUCUGUUGAUACAGUGAAUUGUGGUAGUGCCUGAGUAUCUUUGCUGAUGGUGUCACCGGUGGUACAAUUUUUCCAAAAAGAGCCGCCAAUUGAUUUAGUUUCAUGGCAUUUCUGUAUCCUCCCUUCUGCUAGUGAUGGUCUAAAAUUUGGGGGCCAACAGAGGUGAGGCAAAGAACCUCACACCCCACUGGUGCAUAGGCCUAUCCACAAGUAUGGCUGUAUGCUGGACUGGUAGUCAGUGAUGGGUAAGAUCCAAUUGCAGUGGUACCAACCUAAGACAGAAGGCUGAUGCCUUGAGGUCAGCUCAUCUGAUGAUGGGUAAGGACCAUAUGUAGUACUGGACAGCCUAACAGACAAGUCCCUAAGCCACAUGCUUGGUGUUUAAUUAAACAGAAGGGGUGAGAUGCUGAGAGCCAUAGCUGAGUUGGAAUGAUGCAUGGCAUUUUUGCCAGAACAGAGUGGUUGAGAGGUGAUGUCAGCAAGCCAUUGAGAUGAUAAUGGUUAUGUUAAGCUGUGUAUUCAAUUGUAUAUUAGACCCCUGCUGUCCACCUCUGCCUGGUACUUUGGAGUUCUCAUGCUACUUUGGCAUUUUCACAGGGAUUCCCAGAGGGUUCCCAUUGGUUGGGGAAGUGCAGGAGGAGGGAUUUCUGGAGGAGGGAUUUCUGGUUGGUAUGUGAUGUGUCCCGGAGAAGGCGGAGUGCGGAGAAUAAAGGACUUCCUGUUUUGAACCUACAAGGCUAUGUGGUGGCUCGGUUAUUUUGUGCCCAGCCAGACUGUGCAGUAAAUAAAAAAAAUAAAAAGAUCUGGGGAUGUGGCUCAGUGGCUAAAUACCCCUAGGUUCAAUAUAUAGUGCAACACCCUCACCCCAAAAAAGAAAUAAUAGAAUUUACUAUAGCUUCACCAGAAAUAAAAUACUUCUGUUUAAAUCUAAUGACAUGUGGUCGAGAUCACUGUGAGUAAAAUUACAACUUUAUUUAGAAAUUUUUGAAAAAUAAAAAAAAAGAUAUUUCACACUUCAGAAAAGAAAAACUCAGAACUGUUAAGAUGCCAGUUUUUCCCAGUUGUAUCUACAGAUUCAGUGCAAUCCCAAACAAAAUUUCAAAAAGUUUUAUCCAUCAAUAUGAACAAUUAUAGGGGCUGGGGAUAUAGCUUAGUUAGUACAAUGCUUUACUUGCAUGCACAAAACCCUAGGUUCAGCCCCCAGCACCAUCAAAAAAGAAAUUAUAUAUAUAUAAACAAUUACUAUUUGUCAAGUAAUUCUUACUUAAAAUAUUAUUAUUAUAUUUUUAAAUUCUCAGAAAAUUAAACUGUGUUACUGACAUGCUGGUUCUAAACCUUAUACAGAAAAGCAAAGACACUGAAUUGCACACUUAAUAUUUGAAAACAAUAACACAUACAGGAAAGGAACCCCAUCAAUUGAGGACUCAUAAAGAUUCAAGCAUCAAGAUAGUAUGGCAUUUACUAAAGAAAAGACAAUCCAAACAAAGGAUCACCCAGAAGUAGAUUCACAGCAAGAUAGCUAAUCUUAACUAAGGAGAGAGAAUCUUCAUUGGAGAAAGGAUGGCCUCUUCAACAAAUGGUGCUGGGGAAACAGAAAAUAAAC
This 2198-nucleotide long non-coding RNA is filed under the name Marmota monax (woodchuck). The record is from RNAcentral. Lineage: Eukaryota; Metazoa; Chordata; Mammalia; Rodentia; Sciuridae.